UGGGCAACCUGCCCCCGACCCUGGGAUGACUCCGGGGAAACCGGAGCUAAUACCGGAUACUCUCCUCUGACCACCUGGUCGGAUGAGGAAAGGUCCGCCGGUCGGGGAUGGGCCCGCGGCCUAUCAGCUUGUUGGUGGGGUAACGGCCUACCAAGGCAUCGACGGGUAGCUGGUCUGAGAGGACGACCAGCCACACUGGGACUGAGACACGGCCCAGACUCCUACGGUAGGCA
This 233-nucleotide ribosomal RNA is filed under the name uncultured bacterium. RNAcentral describes it as "partial 16S ribosomal RNA". It matches the Rfam family "Bacterial small subunit ribosomal RNA", at positions 118 to 350 of the family's 1533-position model. The record is from RNAcentral.